GGAAACAGAUGCUAAUACCGGAUAACAACACUAGACGCAUGUCUAGAGUUUAAAAGAUGGUUCUGCUAUCACUCUUGGGAUGGACCUGCGGUGCAUUAGCUAGUUGGGUAAAGGGCAACGGCUUACCAAGGCAAUGAUGCAUAGCCGAGUUUGAGAGACUGAUCGGCCACAUUGGGACUGGGACACGGGCCCAAACUCCUACGGGAGGCAGCAGUAGGGGAAUCUUCCACAAUGGACGCAAGUCUGAUGGAGCAAACGCCGCGUGAGUGAAGAAGGGUUUCGGCUCGUAAAGCUCUGUUGGUAGUGAAGAAAGAUAGAGGUAGUAACUGGCCUUUAUUUGACGGUAAUUACUUAGAAAAGUCACGGGCUAACUACGUGCCAGCAGCCGCGGGUAAAUA
RNAcentral lists this ribosomal RNA (398 nucleotides) under uncultured Lactobacillus sp. RNAcentral's name for it is "bacterial SSU rRNA". It matches the Rfam family "Bacterial small subunit ribosomal RNA", at positions 152 to 525 of the family's 1533-position model. The record is from RNAcentral. Lineage: Bacteria; Bacillati; Bacillota; Bacilli; Lactobacillales; Lactobacillaceae.